GACAGAGGAGGCAAGCGUUGUUCGGAAUCAUUGGGCUUAAAGCGCGCGUAGGCGGCCUUGUAAGUGUCUUGUGAAAUCCCACGGCUCACCCGUGGAACUGCAGGGCAAACUGCAAGACUUGAGGUCGGUAGAGGCGCCUGGAACUCUAGGUGGAGCGGUGAAAUGCGUAGAUAUCUAGGGGAACGCCGGAGGCGAAAGCGGGGCGCUGGGCCGAUGCUGACGAUGAUGCGCGAAAGAGUGGGGAGCAAACAGG
Molecule: ribosomal RNA, 253 nt
Filed under: uncultured bacterium
Lineage: Bacteria
Description: partial 16S ribosomal RNA
Rfam family: Bacterial small subunit ribosomal RNA
Source: RNAcentral